GAUUAAGUUAUUAAGGGCGCACGGUGGAUGCCUUGGCACUAGAAGCCGAUGAAGGACGUUACUAACGACGAUAUGCUUUGGGGAGCUGUAAGUAAGCUUUGAUCCAGAGAUUUCCGAAUGGGGAAACCCAGCAUGAGUUAUGUCAUGUUAUCGAUAUGUGAAUACAUAGCAUAUCAGAAGGCACACCCGGAGAACUGAAACAUCUUAGUACCCGGAGGAAGAGAAAGAAAAUUCGAUUCCCUUAGUAGCGGCGAGCGAAACGGAAGAGCCCAAACCAACAAGCUUGCUUGUUGGGGUUGUAGGACACUCUAUACGGAGUUACAAAGGACGACAUUAGACGAAUCAUCUGGAAAGAUGAAUCAAAGAAGGUAAUAAUCCUGUAGUCGAAAAUGUUGUCUCUCUUGAGUGGAUCCUGAGUACGACGGAGCACGUGAAAUUCCGUCGGAAUCUGGGAGGACCAUCUCCUAAGGCUAAAUACUCUCUAGUGACCGAUAGUGAACCAGUACCGUGAGGGAAAGGUGAAAAGCACCCCGGAAGGGGAGUGAAAUAGAACCUGAAACCGUGUGCUUACAAGUAGUCAGAGCCCGUUAAUGGGUGAUGGCGUGCCUUUUGUAGAAUGAACCGGCGAGUUACGAUUUGAUGCAAGGUUAAGCAGUAAAUGUGGAGCCGUAGCGAAAGCGAGUCUGAAUAGGGCGUUUAGUAUUUGGUCGUAGACCCGAAACCAGGUGAUCUACCCUUGGUCAGGUUGAAGUUCAGGUAACACUGAAUGGAGGACCGAACCGACUUACGUUGAAAAGUGAGCGGAUGAACUGAGGGUAGCGGAGAAAUUCCAAUCGAACCUGGAGAUAGCUGGUUCUCUCCGAAAUAGCUUUAGGGCUAGCCUCAAGUGAUGAUUAUUGGAGGUAGAGCACUGUUUGGACGAGGGGCCCCUCUUCGGGUUACCGAAUUCAGACAAACUCCGAAUGCCAAUUAAUUUAACUUGGGAGUCAGAACAUGGGUGAUAAGGUCCGUGUUCGAAAGGGAAACAGCCCAGACCACCAGCUAAGGUCCCAAAAUAUAUGUUAAGUGGAAAAGGAUGUGGCGUUGCCCAGACAACUAGGAUGUUGGCUUAGAAGCAGCCAUCAUUUAAAGAGUGCGUAAUAGCUCACUAGUCGAGUGACACUGCGCCGAAAAUGUACCGGGGCUAAACAUAUUACCGAAGCUGUGGAUUGUCCUUUGGACAAUGGUAGGAGAGCGUUCUAAGGGCGUUGAAGCAUGAUCGUAAGGACAUGUGGAGCGCUUAGAAGUGAGAAUGCCGGUGUGAGUAGCGAAAGACGGGUGAGAAUCCCGUCCACCGAUUGACUAAGGUUUCCAGAGGAAGGCUCGUCCGCUCUGGGUUAGUCGGGUCCUAAGCUGAGGCCGACAGGCGUAGGCGAUGGAUAACAGGUUGAUAUUCCUGUACCACCUAUAAUCGUUUUAAUCGAUGGGGGGACGCAGUAGGAUAGGCGAAGCGUGCGAUUGGAUUGCACGUCUAAGCAGUAAGGCUGAGUAUUAGGCAAAUCCGGUACUCGUUAAGGCUGAGCUGUGAUGGGGAGAAGACAUUGUGUCUUCGAGUCGUUGAUUUCACACUGCCGAGAAAAGCCUCUAGAUAGAAAAUAGGUGCCCGUACCGCAAACCGACACAGGUAGUCAAGAUGAGAAUUCUAAGGUGAGCGAGCGAACUCUCGUUAAGGAACUCGGCAAAAUGACCCCGUAACUUCGGGAGAAGGGGUGCUCUUUAGGGUUAACGCCCAGAAGAGCCGCAGUGAAUAGGCCCAAGCGACUGUUUAUCAAAAACACAGGUCUCUGCUAAACCGUAAGGUGAUGUAUAGGGGCUGACGCCUGCCCGGUGCUGGAAGGUUAAGAGGAGUGGUUAGCUUCUGCGAAGCUACGAAUCGAAGCCCCAGUAAACGGCGGCCGUAACUAUAACGGUCCUAAGGUAGCGAAAUUCCUUGUCGGGUAAGUUCCGACCCGCACGAAAGGCGUAACGAUUUGGGCACUGUCUCAACGAGAGACUCGGUGAAAUCAUAGUACCUGUGAAGAUGCAGGUUACCCGCGACAGGACGGAAAGACCCCGUGGAGCUUUACUGUAGCCUGAUAUUGAAAUUCGGCACAGCUUGUACAGGAUAGGUAGGAGCCUUUGAAACGUGAGCGCUAGCUUACGUGGAGGCGCUGGUGGGAUACUACCCUAGCUGUGUUGGCUUUCUAACCCGCACCACUUAUCGUGGUGGGAGACAGUGUCAGGCGGGCAGUUUGACUGGGGCGGUCGCCUCCUAAAAGGUAACGGAGGCGCUCAAAGGUUCCCUCAGAAUGGUUGGAAAUCAUUCAUAGAGUGUAAAGGCAUAAGGGAGCUUGACUGCGAGACCUACAAGUCGAGCAGGGUCGAAAGACGGACUUAGUGAUCCGGUGGUUCCGCAUGGAAGGGCCAUCGCUCAACGGAUAAAAGCUACCCCGGGGAUAACAGGCUUAUCUCCCCCAAGAGUUCACAUCGACGGGGAGGUUUGGCACCUCGAUGUCGGCUCAUCGCAUCCUGGGGCUGUAGUCGGUCCCAAGGGUUGGGCUGUUCGCCCAUUAAAGCGGUACGCGAGCUGGGUUCAGAACGUCGUGAGACAGUUCGGUCCCUAUCCGUCGUGGGCGUAGGAAAUUUGAGAGGAGCUGUCCUUAGUACGAGAGGACCGGGAUGGACAUACCUCUGGUGUACCAGUUGUCGUGCCAACGGCAUAGCUGGGUAGCUAUGUGUGGACGGGAUAAGUGCUGAAAGCAUCUAAGCAUGAAGCCCCCCUCAAGAUGAGAUUUCCCAACUUCGGUUAUAAGAUCCCUCAAAGAUGAUGAGGUUAAUAGGUUCGAGGUGGAAGCAUGGUGACAUGUGGAGCUGACGAAUACUAAUCGAUCGAAGACUUAAUCAA
RNAcentral lists this ribosomal RNA (2923 nucleotides) under Staphylococcus aureus. RNAcentral describes it as "23S ribosomal RNA". It matches the Rfam family "Bacterial large subunit ribosomal RNA". The record is from RNAcentral. Lineage: Bacteria; Bacillati; Bacillota; Bacilli; Caryophanales; Staphylococcaceae.